Molecule: ribosomal RNA, 253 nt
Filed under: uncultured bacterium
Lineage: Bacteria
Description: partial 16S ribosomal RNA
Rfam family: Bacterial small subunit ribosomal RNA
Source: RNAcentral
GACGAGGGGUCCAAGCGUUGUUCGGAAUCAUUGGGCGUAAAGCGGGUGUAGGCGGCUCUAUAAGUCAGGAGUGAAAGCCCCAAGCUUAACUUGGGAAGUGCUUUUGAUACUGCAGAGCUUGAAUGUGGGAGAGGGUAGUGGAAUUCCAGGUGUAGUGGUGAAAUACGUAGAUAUUCGCAAGAACACCAGUGGCGAAGGCGGCUCACUGGCCCGGUACUGACGCUGAGGUGCGAAAGCGUGGGGAGCAAACAGG